This is a long non-coding RNA of Strigops habroptila (Kakapo), 1548 nucleotides long. The record is from Ensembl. Lineage: Eukaryota; Metazoa; Chordata; Aves; Psittaciformes; Psittacidae.
UUUUUUUUUUCCAUUCUGUAUGCAGGCAAACUAUUUUCUUUGGCACAUUGUACCAGAGGAGAACAUACCAGCAAAAUACUAAAAUGAUUUGAUGCCUGAUAAUGGAAAGUGACUUGCUCCUUAUCAUGAGACACUGGUUAAUUCCAAUAGAAUAAUGUGUUAAAAUCUGUUUGGUGCAAUAGUGAUCAGUGGUGAUAGUAAUGCAGUAGCUUCGGUCGGACAACAGGUUGUGACCUGGUUCUUGGGAGCUAUUGAAGCCUGUCCUGUAAAAAUACAUUGUGAUAUAUGGUAUAUUUCUGUGUCUGUAAAACCUGGGCUUUAUUUGAUUUUUCUGCUGGAGUUUCAUUCAAAAUUUCAUUCUCCACAAUAUCCAGAUGCCUGUCCUGGGAAAUGUUGUACUCUUUCCUUGAAGUCUUAUUUUUGAUGUUUCACCUUGUGUUCAUGACUGUAUCUUAAGUAUGUGCUCUGCAAGCUCUCUGUAGGUAGUAAAGUUGUGUGUAUGCUGAUAAAGUUAGACUGUUCAUGUAUUUGCCUGAUGACCAUUCGGGACUGUUUAUAGUACCUGGAAAUAUGUCAGAUAGCCAUUCAUGUGGCAUAAUUCCCCCUUUGCUUUAAGUAACCACUUAAUGUACUACAUAAACUUAGGAAGAAAGACGCCGGCAGUUUGAAUAGAAGUAUUCUUCUGCAGUGAUAGUGGCUGGAUCCACACAUCCCAUGUUUUUAGUGCUCACCAUGUGGCCCAAGACCCCCCUGGGGCACAGCACCAGUGCCUGCAUGUUUCCCCUUGCAGCGGGAGGCCAGGGUGCCGGCUGCUGCGGUACUCAGCACCACAGCAUCGGGGGAUGCUCUCUCCAGCUCCUGCAGCUCUGCCACAGCUUACACAAAACUUUUUGAAUAAAUAUUCCUGCUGAAGCAUAUGGGAAAAAAUACAUUUUGUGUUAGGUAUACAUCAGCAACCCAGACAAGGUGUUUGGUGUCAUUGGAUCUGUUUUGUUCCCACGGUUCUUGGGCUGUGACCUUGACAGGGAUCUCAAUUUAUAUUCUCAAGGACAUCCACAUCUACUUCUUUUGAUUUGGAAGAUGCUAUGUAGCUAUUAUUUCUUUUCUUUCUGCAGGUGCAAGAACUGUUUAUUCUGUUAGGCACCACAGCUGUUCUGUGCUGCCUCACUGAGGUAUCAAAAAUCAUAAUUUUUCUACUGCUGUGAUUUCUUCUUGCCUGAAUAGGGCCUUUCUUUCAUACCCUUCUCGUCUUUUGGUACCAUCUCUCUAAUCUUUCCUAAAAAGCUCACAACCCUCACUUUUCCACAUAUUUCUUUGCCACUCAGUCCUCCUGUUUGCUUGUCAUAUUGAUCGUGAUGGCUAUUUUGCCCUAAUGAAUCAGAAGAUGGAUAGUGGUCUUUCUUAGUGAAAAGAUUUGACUUUUAGAGCUCUGUGACACUGCUAACCUCCUACUUGCUUAAGGUCCAGCAAGGAUUAACUCUGUAUUAUGAAAUCCAAGAAAUUAAAACACACCCAAGGCACCCUGAAUAAUAAAAGUUAUUUCUUUUU